GUAGGGGGCAAGCGUUAUCCGGAUUUACUGGGUGUAAAGGGAGCGUAGACGGAGGAGCAAGUCUGAAGUGAAAGCCCGCGGCUCAACUGCGGGACUGCUUUGGAAACUGUUCAUCUAGAGUGUCGGAGAGGUAAGUGGAAUUCCUAGUGUAGCGGUGAAAUGCGUAGAUAUUAGGAGGAACACCAGUGGCGAAGGCGGCUUACUGGACGAUGACUGACGUUGAGGCUCGAAAGCGUGGGGAGCAAA
This 246-nucleotide ribosomal RNA is filed under the name uncultured bacterium. RNAcentral describes it as "partial 16S ribosomal RNA". It matches the Rfam family "Bacterial small subunit ribosomal RNA", at positions 527 to 772 of the family's 1533-position model. The record is from RNAcentral.